RNAcentral lists this ribosomal RNA (255 nucleotides) under uncultured bacterium. Its description in RNAcentral is "partial 16S ribosomal RNA". It matches the Rfam family "Bacterial small subunit ribosomal RNA", at positions 524 to 777 of the family's 1533-position model. The record is from RNAcentral.
UACGAAGGGGGCUAGCGUUGUUCGGAUUUACUGGGCGUAAAGCGCACGUAGGCGGACUUUUAAGUCAGGGGUGAAAUCCCAGAGCUCAACUCUGGAACUGCCUUUGAUACUGGAAGUCUUGAGUAUGGUAGAGGUGAGUGGAAUUCCGAGUGUAGAGGUGAAAUUCGUAGAUAUUCGGAGGAACACCAGUGGCGAAGGCGGCUCACUGGACCAUUACUGACGCUGGAGGUGCGAAAGCGUGGGGAGCAAACAGGA